AGAACGAACGCUGGCGGCAUGCCUAAUACAUGCAAGUCGAACGAACUCUUCGGAGUUAGUGGCGCACGGGUGCGUAACGCGUGGGAAUCUGCCCCUUGGUUCGGAAUAACAGUUGGAAACGACUGCUAAUACCGGAUGAUGACGAAAGUCCAAAGAUUUAUCGCCAAGGGAUGACGCCGCGUAGGAUUAGCUAGUUGGUGAGGUAAGCUCA
Molecule: ribosomal RNA, 211 nt
Filed under: uncultured soil bacterium
Lineage: Bacteria
Description: partial 16S ribosomal RNA
Rfam family: Bacterial small subunit ribosomal RNA
Source: RNAcentral